Molecule: ribosomal RNA, 253 nt
Filed under: uncultured bacterium
Lineage: Bacteria
Description: partial 16S ribosomal RNA
Rfam family: Bacterial small subunit ribosomal RNA
Source: RNAcentral
UACGGGGGGGGCAAGCGUUGUUCGGAAUUACUGGGCGUAAAGGGCUCGUAGGUGGCCAACUAAGUCGGACGUGAAAUCCCCAGGCUCAACCUGGGAACUGCGUCCGAUACUGAAUGGCUUGAAUCCGGGAGAGGGAUGCAGAAUUCCAGGUGUAGCGGUGAAAUGCGUAGAUAUCUGGAGGAAUACCGGUGGCGAAGGCGGCAUCCUGGACCGGCAUUGACGCUGAGGCGCGAAAGCCAGGGGAGCAAACGGG